This 703-nucleotide ribosomal RNA is filed under the name uncultured Bacteroidales bacterium. RNAcentral describes it as "bacterial SSU rRNA". It matches the Rfam family "Bacterial small subunit ribosomal RNA", at positions 40 to 732 of the family's 1533-position model. Lineage: Bacteria; Pseudomonadati; Bacteroidota; Bacteroidia; Bacteroidales. The record is from RNAcentral.
CUACAGGCUUAACACAUGCAAGUCGAGGGGCAGCAUGGUCUUAGCUUGCUAAGGCCGAUGGCGACCGGCGCACGGGUGAGUAACACGUAUCCAACCUGCCGUCUACUCUUGGACAGCCUUCUGAAAGGAAGAUUAAUACAAGAUGGCAUCAUGAGUCCGCAUGUUCACAUGAUUAAAGGUAUUCUGGUAGACGAUGGGGAUGCGUUCCAUUAGAUAGUAGGCGGGGUAACGGCCCACCUAGUCUUCGAUGGAUAGGGGUUCUGAGAGGAAGGUCCCCCACAUUGGAACUGAGACACGGUCCAAACUCCUACGGGAGGCAGCAGUGAGGAAUAUUGGUCAAUGGGCGCAGGCCUGAACCAGCCAAGUAGCGUGAAGGAUGACUGCCCUAUGGGUUGUAAACUUCUUUUAUAAAGGAAUAAAGUCGGGUAUGCAUACCCGUUUGCAUGUACUUUAUGAAUAAGGAUCGGCUAACUCCGUGCCAGCAGCCGCGGUAAUACGGAGGAUCCGAGCGUUAUCCGGAUUUAUUGGGUUUAAAGGGAGCGUAGAUGGAUGUUUAAGUCAGUUGUGAAAGUUUGCGGCUCAACCGUAAAAUUGCAGUUGAUACUGGAUAUCUUGAGUGCAGUUGAGGCAGGCGGAAUUCGUGGUGUAGCGGUGAAAUGCUUAGAUAUCACGAAGAACUCCGAUUGCGAAGGCAGCCUGCUAA